GGGUUGUGAGGUUAAGCGACUAAGCGUACACGGUGGAUGCCCUGGCAGUCAGAGGCGAUGAAGGACGUGCUAAUCUGCGAAAAGCGUCGGUAAGGUGAUAUGAACCGUUAUAGCCGGCGAUGUCCGAAUGGGGAAACCCAGUGCAAUUCGUUGCACUAUCGUUUGAUGAAUACAUAGUCAAACGAGGCGAACCGGGGGAACUGAAACAUCUAAGUACCCCGAGGAAAAGAAAUCAACCGAGAUUCCCCCAGUAGCGGCGAGCGAACGGGGAGCAGCCCGGAGUCUGAAUCAGCUUGUGUGUUAGUGGAAGCGUCUGGAAAGUCGCAGGGUACAGGGUGAUACUCCCGUACACUAAAACACACAGGCUGUGAACUCGAAGAGUAGGGCGGGACACGUGGUAUCCUGUCUGAAUAUGGGGGGACCAUCCUCCAAGGCUAAAUACUCCUGACUGACCGAUAGUGAACCAGUACCGUGAGGGAAAGGCGAAAAGAACCCCGGCGAGGGGAGUGAAAAAGAACCUGAAACCGUGUACGUACAAGCAGUAGGAGCCCCACCACCAAAGCGUUUCGCUUUGCGUGGUGCGCAAAAUGCGUAACGACAGCAUGAUGGACGGUUAACGGAGCGUCAGCGACGUUCAACCUCAAAAAUCAGGCAGUGGAGCGUUUUGGGGUGGGGUGACUGCGUACCUUUUGUAUAAUGGGUCAGCGACUUAUAUUCUGUAGCAAGGUUAACCGUAUAGGGGAGCCGCAGGGAAACCGAGUCUUAACUGGGCGUUAAGUUGCAGGGUAUAGACCCGAAACCCGGUGAUCUAGCCAUGGGCAGGUUGAAGGUUGGGUAACACUAACUGGAGGACCGAACCGACUAAUGUUGAAAAAUUAGCGGAUGACUUGUGGCUGGGGGUGAAAGGCCAAUCAAACCGGGAGAUAGCUGGUUCUCCCCGAAAGCUAUUUAGGUAGCGCCUCGUGAACUCAUCUUCGGGGGUAGAGCACUGUUUCGGCUAGGGGGUCAUCCCGACUUACCAACCCGAUGCAAACUACGAAUACCGAAGAAUGUUAUCACGGGAGACACACGGCGGGUGCUAACGUCCGUCGUGAAGAGGGAAACAACCCAGACCGCCAGCUAAGGUCCCAAAGUCAUGGUUAAGUGGGAAACGAUGUGGGAAGGCCCAGACAGCCAGGAUGUUGGCUUAGAAGCAGCCAUCAUUUAAAGAAAGCGUAAUAGCUCACUGGUCGAGUCGGCCUGCGCGGAAGAUGUAACGGGGCUAAACCAUGCACCGAAGCUGCGGCAGCGACACUAUGUGUUGUUGGGUAGGGGAGCGUUCUGUAAGCCGUUGAAGGUGGCCUGUGAGGGUUGCUGGAGGUAUCAGAAGUGCGAAUGCUGACAUAAGUAACGAUAAUGCGGGUGAAAAACCCGCACGCCGGAAGACCAAGGGUUCCUGUCCAACGUUAAUCGGGGCAGGGUGAGUCGACCCCUAAGGCGAGGCCGAAAGGCGUAGUCGAUGGGAAACAGGUUAAUAUUCCUGUACUUGGUGUUACUGCGAAGGGGGGACGGAGAAGGCUAUGUUGGCCGGGCGACGGUUGUCCCGGUUUAAGCAUGUAGGCGGAUGUUCCAGGUAAAUCCGGAACGUCACUAACGCUGAGGUGUGAUGACGAGGCACUACGGUGCUGAAGUGACAAAUGCCCUGCUUCCAGGAAAAGCCUCUAAGCAUCAGGUAACAUCAAAUCGUACCCCAAACCGACACAGGUGGUCAGGUAGAGAAUACCAAGGCGCUUGAGAGAACUCGGGUGAAGGAACUAGGCAAAAUGGUGCCGUAACUUCGGGAGAAGGCACGCUGAUGGUAAGUGAAGUGACUUGCUCAUGGAGCUGAAAUCAGUCGAAGAUACCAGCUGGCUGCAACUGUUUAUUAAAAACACAGCACUGUGCAAACACGAAAGUGGACGUAUACGGUGUGACGCCUGCCCGGUGCCGGAAGGUUAAUUGAUGGGGUUAUCCUCACGGAGAAGCUCUUGAUCGAAGCCCCGGUAAACGGCGGCCGUAACUAUAACGGUCCUAAGGUAGCGAAAUUCCUUGUCGGGUAAGUUCCGACCUGCACGAAUGGCGUAAUGAUGGCCAGGCUGUCUCCACCCGAGACUCAGUGAAAUUGAACUCGCUGUGAAGAUGCAGUGUACCCGCGGCAAGACGGAAAGACCCCGUGAACCUUUACUAUAGCUUGACACUGAACACUGGUCCUUGAUGUGUAGGAUAGGUGGGAGGCUUUGAAGUGUGGACGCCAGUCUGCAUGGAGCCAUCCUUGAAAUACCACCCUUUAAUGGCUGGUGUUCUAACGUGGGCCCCUAAUCGGGGUUGCGGACAGUGUCUGGUGGGUAGUUUGACUGGGGCGGUCUCCUCCUAAAGAGUAACGGAGGAGCACGAAGGUCAGCUAAUCCUGGUCGGACAUCAGGAGGUUAGUGCAAUGGCAUAAGCUGGCUUGACUGCGAGCGUGACGGCGCGAGCAGGUGCGAAAGCAGGUCAUAGUGAUCCGGUGGUUCUGAAUGGAAGGGCCAUCGCUCAACGGAUAAAAGGUACUCCGGGGAUAACAGGCUGAUACCGCCCAAGAGUUCAUAUCGACGGCGGUGUUUGGCACCUCGAUGUCGGCUCAUCACAUCCUGGGGCUGAAGUAGGUCCCAAGGGUAUGGCUGUUCGCCAUUUAAAGUGGUACGCGAGCUGGGUUUAGAACGUCGUGAGACAGUUCGGUCCCUAUCUGCCGUGGGCGCUGGAGAAUUGAGGGGGGCUGCUCCUAGUACGAGAGGACCGGAGUGGACGCAUCACUGGUGUUCGGGUUGUCAUGCCAAUGGCAUUGCCCGGUAGCUAAAUGCGGAAGAGAUAAGUGCUGAAAGCAUCUAAGCACGAAACUUGCCCCGAGAUGAGUUCUCCCUGACUCCUUGAGAGUCCUGAAGGAACGUUGAAGACGACGACGUUGAUAGGCCGGGUGUGUAAGCGCAGCGAUGCGUUGAGCUAACCGGUACUAAUGAACCGUGAGGCUUAACCUUACAACGCCGAAG
This 3041-nucleotide ribosomal RNA is filed under the name Klebsiella oxytoca. RNAcentral's name for it is "bacterial LSU rRNA". It matches the Rfam family "Bacterial large subunit ribosomal RNA". Lineage: Bacteria; Pseudomonadati; Pseudomonadota; Gammaproteobacteria; Enterobacterales; Enterobacteriaceae. The record is from RNAcentral.